GGGGGUAUAGCUCAGGGGUAGAGCAUUUGACUGCAGAUAAAGAGGUCCCUGGUUCAAAUCCAGGUGCCCCCU
Molecule: transfer RNA, 72 nt
Filed under: Carlito syrichta (Philippine tarsier)
Lineage: Eukaryota; Metazoa; Chordata; Mammalia; Primates; Tarsiidae
Description: tRNA-Cys (GCA) (tRNA-Cys-GCA-10-1)
Rfam family: tRNA
About the family: Transfer RNA (tRNA) molecules are approximately 80 nucleotides in length. Their secondary structure includes four short double-helical elements and three loops (D, anti-codon, and T loops).
Source: Rfam by way of RNAcentral